GAUCUGGCUCAGGAUGAACGCUGGCGGCGUGCUUAACACAUGCAAGUCGAGCGAAGCAGUUAAGAAGAUUCUUCGGAUGAUUCUUGACUGACUGAGCGGCGGACGGGUGAGUAACGCGUGGGUGACCUGCCCCAUACCGGGGGAUAACAGCUGGAAACGGCUGCUAAUACCGCAUAAGCGCACAGAGCUGCAUGGCUCCGUGUGAAAAACUCCGGUGGUAUGGGAUGGG
This 229-nucleotide ribosomal RNA is filed under the name uncultured bacterium. RNAcentral describes it as "partial 16S ribosomal RNA". It matches the Rfam family "Bacterial small subunit ribosomal RNA", at positions 15 to 229 of the family's 1533-position model. The record is from RNAcentral.